RNAcentral lists this ribosomal RNA (406 nucleotides) under uncultured bacterium. RNAcentral describes it as "partial 16S ribosomal RNA". It matches the Rfam family "Bacterial small subunit ribosomal RNA", at positions 30 to 526 of the family's 1533-position model. The record is from RNAcentral.
AUUGAACGCUGGCGGCAGGCCUAACACAUGCAAGUCGAGCGAGUGGCGGACGGGUGAGUAAUGUAUGGGGACCUGCCCGAUAGAGGGGGAUAACUACUGGACACGGUGGCUAAUACCGCAUACCAACGGAUGAGACCAGAUGGGCUUAGCUAGUAGGUGGGGUAAAGGCUCACCUAGGCGACGCUCCCUAGCUGGUCUGAGAGGAUGACCAGCCACACUGGAACUGAGACACGGUCCAGACCACUACGGGAGGCAGCAGUGGGGAAUAUUGCACAAUGGGCGCAAGCCUGAUGCAGCCAUGCCGCGUGUAUGAAGAAGGCCUUAGGGUUGUAAAGUACUUUCAGCGAGGAGGCGUUACUCGCAGAAGAAGCACCGGCUAACUCCGUGCCAGCAGCCGCGGUAAUAC